CCUACGGGAGGCAGCAGUCGAGAAUCAUUCACAAUGGGGGAAACCCUGAUGGUGCGACGCCGCGUGGGGGAAUGAAGGUCUUCGGAUUGUAAACCCCUGUCAUGUGGGAGCAAAUUAAAAAGAUAGUACCACAAGAGGAAGAGACGGCUAACUCUGUGCCAGCAGCCGCGGUAAUACAGAGGUCUCAAGCGUUGUUCGGCAUCACUGGGCGUAAAGCGUGCGUAGGCUGUUUCGUAAGUCGUGUGUGAAAGGCGCGGGCUCAACCCGCGGACGGCACAUGAUACUGCGAGACUAGAGUAAGGGAGGGGGAACCGGAAUUCUCGGUGUAGCAGUGAAAUGCGUAGAUAUCGAGAGGAACACUCGUGGCGAAGGCGGGUUCCUGGACAUUAACUGACGCUGAGGCACGAAGGCCAGGGGAGCGAAAGGGAUUAGAUACCCCAGUAGUC
RNAcentral lists this ribosomal RNA (446 nucleotides) under uncultured bacterium. Its description in RNAcentral is "partial 16S ribosomal RNA". It matches the Rfam family "Bacterial small subunit ribosomal RNA", at positions 338 to 795 of the family's 1533-position model. The record is from RNAcentral.